Boleophthalmus pectinirostris (great blue-spotted mudskipper) is the source of this 525-nucleotide long non-coding RNA. RefSeq lists it as uncharacterized. The record is from RefSeq and is a predicted model, not a curated record. NCBI's taxonomy places the organism in Eukaryota, Metazoa, Chordata, Actinopteri, Gobiiformes, Gobiidae. The transcript has 4 exons.
UUGUUUUGUUUGCUCUGAGUAGCACAUGAGUUCAUCUUCUGCCAUCUGCCUUUUUGUUUGUGCCUUUGACCUCACUGUCUUUUUACUCUGUUUUUGGAACCAUCUUUGUGGAGAAAUAAAUUGGAGCUGUGAGAAAACAGAAAUUAAUGAAACUAAGAAAAACCCAUGUGUACCCAGAUACAGUGAUGUGACCCUCCUGAGAGGCUGAACUGUUUUUAUAGCUCCCCCCACAGGAAGGACCUUCCUCCAGGUAAAAGAAGCCGUAUAUUUUGUUCUGCAUUUUCGUGGGGAGAUGUCUUCUGCAUUUGCCCAAGGACGGAGGUUUUUCACGCUCUACGGUCCGAGACUCUUCUGGAUUUGAACAGAAUGUACAAGGGACUGGCUGGUCAGGCAAGUGGAAAGAUAAAGCAAUGGAGACAAGCACACAGUGGACCCUUUACGAGAAUUACCUACAAAAAGGUGCUUAUAUUGUUAAAGGGCACUAUUUUCUGAUCUGUGUUUUCAUGUUGUUUCAUCAUUACAAAC